RNAcentral lists this ribosomal RNA (351 nucleotides) under uncultured Mortierella. RNAcentral's name for it is "SSU rRNA". It matches the Rfam family "Eukaryotic small subunit ribosomal RNA", at positions 1326 to 1698 of the family's 1831-position model. Lineage: Eukaryota; Fungi; Mortierellomycota; Mortierellomycetes; Mortierellales; Mortierellaceae. The record is from RNAcentral.
CGAUAACGAACGAGACCUUAACCUGCUAAAUAGUUAGGCCAACGUUUGUUGGUCGUCAACUUCUUAGAGGGACUAUUGACUAUUAGUCAAUGGAAGUUUGAGGCAAUAACAGGUCUGUGAUGCCCUUAGAUGUUCUGGGCCGCACGCGCGCUACACUGAUCAAUUCAACGAGUUUACAACCUACGCCGGAAGGUCUGGGUAAUCUUUUGAAACUUGAUCGUGCUGGGGAUAGUCCAUUGCAAUUAUUGGACUUCAACGAGGAAUUCCUAGUAAACGUGAGUCAUCACCUCGCGUUGAUUACUUCCCUGCCCUUUGUACACACCGCCCGUCGCUACUACCGAUUGAAUGGCU